AACAUUUUACCAAUAUUCUGAAGCAUCUUGCUAAGCGAUUCAAUACGGAUCUGACAUCAAGAAAGGCAUCCAUAAAGUUCAUGAUCCAGGAAGAGCUGACUAAGCUAGCUGACAAGGCUGAGGAAGAGGAUGAAGAGGAACCAGAGAAGACUGGAAAACAAGCAUCCGGGCAAAGGGUCAAGGCUUGGCGGUCUUGCUUUGAUUCGAAAAAAAGAACCAUUUCUUAUGUAGUUUUUGUUUUCUGUUGUUGGUUCUUGUACAAGCAUGUAACUUAAUGUUAGUUAUUUCGUUAAGGUGCCCACUGUA
Molecule: long non-coding RNA, 306 nt
Organism: Helianthus annuus (common sunflower)
Lineage: Eukaryota; Viridiplantae; Streptophyta; Magnoliopsida; Asterales; Asteraceae
Exons: 2
Source: RefSeq, a predicted model, not a curated record